Ipomoea nil (Japanese morning glory) is the source of this 264-nucleotide long non-coding RNA. RefSeq lists it as uncharacterized. Lineage: Eukaryota; Viridiplantae; Streptophyta; Magnoliopsida; Solanales; Convolvulaceae. The transcript is spliced from 3 exons. The record is from RefSeq and is a predicted model, not a curated record.
UAAUAGACAAAAGCAAAGGAGGAAGACGACGAUUUCUGGAACUUUCUUUGUUUUCAAAAGCGAACCAAACUGAAUAAUAGUGGUUGGGCUGGAGUUGGAGUUGCAUAUAUAGGCCGACGUAUCUGGUGGUGGUGGGUUCACACGCUAAGCUACUCCGUUGAAAAUAUGGACACGCAAUCUCUCCCCUCCCCGUGUACAGUACGGUCGAGUUGGAUUUAGUCCAUCCAGACAAUUAAAAAUAAAUAUAUCCCCUAUAUAUCAAAA